GCACGGCCCCGCACAGUGAGCUGCCGGCAUCUGUGCGCGGCCGCUUUGCGGGGUGUACGCGCAUUUUAGGACUGAUGGGCGUCCGGAGGGGGGAGCGGGACGUACUGGACUCCCACUCCGAGCUUCCAGAAUAUCCUUAACAACACCAGAAGAAUGGAUGUCAUGGAUGUUCUUCAGAAGGUUUGCAACAGUGCAGCCACACAUUUUUUGCCACUUGUCAGACUAAUUCAAUAGCAAAAUCUGAGCAACAAAAAUCUGAUCUGGCCUGUAUCUUCAGAAACAUCCUGAAAUGCAGUCAACUGAUUUUUAUUUAAAGGUGUGACUACAGAACUAAGAGGAGGAUCUCUCACCUGGUUCCAGUUCCAUGGAAUAACAGCAUAUUUAAACAGAUGAAUGGUCCAGGAAGGAAAAAGAUGAAAACUACCAUUUCAGACUAUUUUCAAGGGUCUGCAACCAGGAUCACAGAAGGAGCUGAAACUUCACCCCUUUGUCACAAGCUAAACCAGACAUUAUUUUAAAUUGCCAUUGUAUUAAGAACUAAAGCAAGACACUGAGAUACAACACUCCUUGAGAGUUCCUAUGUGACUGAAACACUAGAUGAUCAAUUAAAAGUCAUGUUUAUCAAGCCUCUGCUUACUGCUCUUACCUGGUAAUUGAGGACAUUCUGAAAAAAAGAAUUCAUACUUUUUUUUCAAACCUAGCUUUUUAAUAUCAUCUCACUUCAGAGGGCAUUUAUAUAUUACUUUUUCACACUACAAAUGCUUUACAAAGAUGAGUCACUACUGCUAACACUGUUCUGGACCUUUGAAAACUCAAAUGACAAACAAGUGUUCCAACUAACUUGUCUAAAGUUGCAGAAAAAGGCCAUAGAUCAUGUGCCUGUCUCUUUUCCCUCUUGAGUUAUAAGCACAAUUUCAUGUUGAACUUACAGAGACUGGUCUUAGAUUCCCUUUCUCCCACCUUCCUGUUAAAACUCUGAGAGAACCAGAACAUCAUUAACGUAUUUGUCUUUGGCAGGUGUCUAGUCAGGGAUUUGCAGUAACAGGUCAAUUACAGUCAGUUGAGAAGAGGGUAAAUCAGUAGUCCAAAAGAAACUUAGUGGCGAGGAACCCAAACCUUCACUGCUACUGUGCAUUCUGUGAGCUAUUCUGGAACUACAGCUUAACUCUCCUUUCUUUUAAGCUAAAUUACCUUUUUUCAUAUUGAUCCUAGAAAACUGCCAAGUGGCAAAUAGUAUAUAUGGAACAAAAAUCGCAGUAUAUUAUAUAUAUACAUAUAUAUAUAUAUAUAUGAUAUAUAGGAUACAAAUCAGUUCUUAUUGCAUACUACAUAUGAUUACACAGCCAAUAUUAGUGAACCUAUGUUUUUUCAUUAUUUUUACUACAAAAAGCACAAUGGCAAGCUGAAGACUGAUUUUAAGUAAGUACCAAUAUCUCUGAUUGCAAGAAAAGAAAACUGGCAAAUAAUGAAUAGUCAACUAAAGUUUCAUGAUUAUUCUACUGCUGUCUAAGUACUGCUGACUAAAAUUCCAAUUAGAUAAUUUGUUUUGGCUUUUAUAGUUUUGUUUACACAUUGACUUCAUACUGGCUCUUAUCUUAGGAUUUGAAAUAGUUUAUUAAAGAUAAGUAGGAAGAAUCCCCUGGAAAAAAAUGUUGUGGUUUGUGGGUUUUUUCUUAAUUUAUUUUGCAUUUUUAAGCUCUGGGUAGUCCCACUUGUGAAUUACUAAACUACAGCUAUGCCCCUUCUAAGGAACAACCACCUUCUUGUGACAAAGGUUCCCUUAUAUAUAAUUUGCAUAGAAAUUUUAAAUCCUCCCGGGAAGGCUGAAAGUCGUCCCUUUUCUGAACCACUUGAUAUGAAAUUUGAUAGCAAAGACACAUGAAUUUUUUGUAUAUGCCAGAGUGUCCAGUAUCACUAAUGGGAAGGGAUUUUUCAAUAAAUUACAGGCAGAAGUUGUUUUUGAGAAUGGAGAAAUUUUAUUAAAGAUACAAGAGUCACAGAUGGAUCAAAUAAUGAUGUUACAGGAACAAAUUAAGGAAACAGAUUUAUUGGAAGCAGCGAACAAUGCAGACAUGC
Long non-coding RNA from Myiozetetes cayanensis, 2076 nucleotides. RefSeq lists it as uncharacterized. The transcript is spliced from 5 exons. The record is from RefSeq and is a predicted model, not a curated record. NCBI's taxonomy places the organism in Eukaryota, Metazoa, Chordata, Aves, Passeriformes, Tyrannidae.